This 460-nucleotide ribosomal RNA is filed under the name uncultured Anoxybacillus sp. Its description in RNAcentral is "bacterial SSU rRNA". It matches the Rfam family "Bacterial small subunit ribosomal RNA", at positions 923 to 1382 of the family's 1533-position model. The record is from RNAcentral. Lineage: Bacteria; Bacillati; Bacillota; Bacilli; Caryophanales; Anoxybacillaceae.
GCACAAGCGGCGGAGCAUGUGGUUUAAUUCGAAGCAACGCGAAGAACCUUACCAGGUCUUGACAUCCCCUGACAACCCGAGAGAUCGGGCGUUCCCCUUCGGGGGACAGGGUGACAGGUGGUGCAUGGUUGUCGUCAGCUCGUGUCGUGAGAUGUUGGGUUAAGUCCCGCAACGAGCGCAACCCUCGACCUUAGUUGCCAGCAUUCAGUUGGGCACUCUAAGGUGACUGCCGGCUAAAAGUCGGAGGAAGGUGGGGAUGACGUCAAAUCAUCAUGCCCCUUAUGACCUGGGCUACACACGUGCUACAAUGGGCGGUACAAAGGGUCGCGAACCCGCGAGGGGGAGCCAAUCCCAAAAAGCCGCUCUCAGUUCGGAUUGCAGGCUGCAACUCGCCUGCAUGAAGCCGGAAUCGCUAGUAAUCGCGGAUCAGCAUGCCGCGGUGAAUACGUUCCCGGGCCUU